RNAcentral lists this ribosomal RNA (726 nucleotides) under Phylloporia solicola. Its description in RNAcentral is "Phylloporia sp. GJ-2018c partial 28S ribosomal RNA". It matches the Rfam family "Eukaryotic large subunit ribosomal RNA", at positions 141 to 846 of the family's 3401-position model. The record is from RNAcentral. Lineage: Eukaryota; Fungi; Basidiomycota; Agaricomycetes; Hymenochaetales; Hymenochaetaceae.
AGUUGUAAUUUGUANAGGCAUCCUCUGCGUUGGACCGUGUACAAGUCUUCUGGAAUGGAGCGUCAUAGAGGGUGAGAAUCCCGUCCAUGACACGGACCACCAAUGCUUUGUGAGGUGCUCUCGAAGAGUCGCGUUGUUUGGGAAUGCAGCGCAAAAUGGGUGGUAAAUUCCAUCUAAGGCUAAAUAUUUGCGAGAGACCGAUAGCGAACAAGUACCGUGAGGGAAAGAUGAAAAGCACUUUGAAAAGAGAGUUAAACAGUACGUGAAAUUGUUGAAAGGGAAACGCUUGAAGCCAGUCGCGUUCUGUGGCACUCAGCCUUGCUUCGGCUUGGUGUACUUGCCUUAGAACGGGUCAACAUCAAUUUUGGCCGGCGGACAAGGGCAAGGGGAAUGUAGCGUUGUUUCGGCGACGUGUUAUAGCCUCUUGUCGAAUACGUCGGCUGAGAUUGAGGACUACAGCACGCCCUUGUGGCCAGGGUUUACUCCCAUGUAACGUGCUUAGGAUGUUGGCAUAAUGGCUUUAAGCGACCCGUCUUGAAACACGGACCAAGGAGUCUAACAUGCUUGCGAGUGUUCGGGUGGAAAACCCUUGCGCGUAAUGAAAGUGAAAGUUUGGGAGCCUCUGCGAGGAGGUGCACCAACGCCCGGCCCUGAUGUUUUCGGACGGUGCUGCGGUAGAGCAUGUAUGUUAGGACCCGAAAGAUGGUGAACUAUGCCUGAAUAGGG